CAGAGUGACAGGUGGUGCAUGGUUGUCGUCAGCUCGUGUCGUGAGAUGUUGGGGUUAAGUCCCGCAACGAGCGCAACCCUUGAUCUUAGUUGCCAUCAUUUAGUUGGGCACUCUAAGGUGACUGCCGGUGACAAACCGGAGGAAGGUGGGGAUGACGUCAAAUCAUCAUGCCCCUUAUGACCUGGGCUACACACGUGCUACAAUGGACGGUACAAAGAGCUGCAAGACCGCGAGGUGGAGCUAAUCUCAUAAAACCGUUCUCAGUUCGGAUUGUAGGCUGCAACUCGCCUACAUGAAGCUGGAAUCGCUAGUAAUCGCGGAUCAGCAUGCCGCGGUGAAUACGUUCCCGGGCCUUGUACACACCGCCCGUCACACCACGAGAGUUUGUAACACCCGAAGUCGGUGGGGUAACCUU
This 415-nucleotide ribosomal RNA is filed under the name Bacillus sp. (in: firmicutes). Its description in RNAcentral is "bacterial SSU rRNA". It matches the Rfam family "Bacterial small subunit ribosomal RNA", at positions 1027 to 1442 of the family's 1533-position model. Lineage: Bacteria; Bacillati; Bacillota; Bacilli; Caryophanales; Bacillaceae. The record is from RNAcentral.